This 366-nucleotide ribosomal RNA is filed under the name uncultured bacterium. RNAcentral's name for it is "bacterial SSU rRNA". It matches the Rfam family "Bacterial small subunit ribosomal RNA", at positions 796 to 1165 of the family's 1533-position model. The record is from RNAcentral.
CACGCCGUAAACGUUGUAUACUAGGUGUUAGCGGAUUUAUCCGCUAGUGCCGAAGCUAACGCAUUAAGUAUACCGCCUGGGGAGUACACUCGCAAGGGUGAAACUCAAAGAAAUUGACGGGGGCCCGCACAAGCGGUGGAUCAUGUGGUUUAAUUCGAUGAUACGCGAAGAGCCUUACCUGGGCUUGAACUGUGCCUGACAGGUGUAGAGAUACACCCUCCUUCGGGAAGGUACAGAGGUGCUGCAUGGUUGUUGUCAGCUCGUGUCGUGAGAUGUUGGGUUAAGUCCCGCAACGAGCGCAACCCUUACCCCUUGUUGCUAACAGGUAACGCUGAGCACUCUAGGGGGACUGUCGGUGAUAAACCG